GUGGGAGCAUCCCCAGCCCAUACUAAAAUUGGAACGAUACCGAGAAGCUUAGCAUGGCCCUUACGCAAGGAUGACACGCAAAAUCUGGAAGCACCCCCAGUGGUU
Ictalurus punctatus (channel catfish) is the source of this 105-nucleotide small nuclear RNA. The record is from Ensembl. Lineage: Eukaryota; Metazoa; Chordata; Actinopteri; Siluriformes; Ictaluridae.